Molecule: long non-coding RNA, 1242 nt
Organism: Dreissena polymorpha
Lineage: Eukaryota; Metazoa; Mollusca; Bivalvia; Myida; Dreissenidae
Exons: 3
Source: RefSeq, a predicted model, not a curated record
UAAAACCAUUCAGCAUGUUAUAUUUAAAUAUUUACAAUUAAAUAUAAUGUGUUAAGGGUGCUGUGUAUUAUUCAAUAAAUAUUUUGGUGUUGAAAUGACUGCCUUAUCAGUAUUUCUCAAAUUAUGCAAUUUUUGGCUUAGACACAGCAUGGAAUCAGAUAAGAGAAUAGCCAGUCCCUAUCAGUCCUCCAUCUAAGCCUAACUAAGGGGUGUUGAUAUACUUUUGAUUUGUUCAGGCACCAUCUAUUUGAGAACCACAGAUAGGAAGUUAUUUUUUUAAAACAAGCAGCAUCAGCAACUGACUUUAAGCUAGAAUUAAGACUUAUUAUUCUAGUGUAAAAUGUCUUGAAAUACUUUCAGCAUGAAGUAUUGUGUGAUGAAAAAAAUGUGUAUUUACUACAAUGUGUAAAUCAACAAUAAGUUUGUUGCAAAGGAGAUUAAAAGUGGGUGGUUAAAGACAUAUAAAGUGAUAUGGUCUAGUUCAACAACUGCCUGUAUUUUUGGAAUACUGAAGAACAGUCUGUUGUAACAGGUUAAACCCCAUGGUGACCGUGAAAUUUACAUUGAUCAGAAGAUCCUUUGGAAAGAAUGUGCAUCAUCGCAUCGCCUGCCAAAAAAGGGAGCAAAAGAGAGACUACCUGAUGUAUGGACUUGAAUACCAGGUUUUACCCAGCACAAGCUGGCCGACAUGAGGAGAACAGGAGUGGGGAAACCGCGCCCUCUCCUUGACCAAGAAAAGCUGGAUUUGUUUAGAGGACCUGAUCAAAUGAGAUCAUGCACGAGACGCAUCGCGCAAAGGCCAUGACAGUAUAAUAGUUGCAAAGAAGUUUGACCGGCUGGUGGCAGACUUGGAGAGAAAGAUGAGAGCUGCACUCCGCCGCCUCAAAGAAAUGCUGACAGGCCUUGAUUGAUAUGCAUCUUUCUUAUGUAUAUAGCUGUUCGUGUGUAUAUACUGUACAUGUUAUUAUAGUAUGCUAUUAUUUUUUGUUUAUUUAUAAUCAAAUUAUGUUUAUAUUUAUUUCAUCAAAUUGCCAUUGAUAUUUAAUUACUCAUGUAUGUUAAAAAAUGUUGGUGUACAUUAAAGUAUAAAAUUGAAUUAUCUUGUAAUUAUUAAAAUACACAAAUAUAUAUGUUUAUAUAAUUAUUGGUUUUUAUUGCAUAUCUGAAUUAAAAAAAACUUUUAACAGCAUAUAAUUGAAUCAACUGUUAAGGCAAAAGAUGCACCUUUAACGCACAUGUGUG